CCAUAGCGACAGGAUGCGUGCUGCUGGGGCCCAAGCUCGAGGCCUGCGGCCGGGAGUGAGGAGCUUGCGGAAGCACCAGGGUUCGAGGAUCCCUCCCGUAGCGUCUCAUCCGAUAAAAGGGAGGGGGAUCCCCCCCAGGAGCAGCGAUGAGGGCGGCUGUCAUUGACGGGGCUAUGGAGACCGUUGCUGAGGACAGGAUCCCCCCCCCACCCCGUUCUCAGAGGCAUGGAGAGGCCUAGGCUCAAAUCCCCGCAGGGAUACAAGGGCCUGGGAAUACAGAAGCCUCCUCCAGAGACUGGCAUGUGACGCUCCCUCUCCCCAGGAACAGGCAUCCAAGGUUGUGGCCCCUUCCUUGGAGAAAAGGUGCCACUGAUCAAGAGCGGUAUUUAUAUUUAGGAGCACCUAGAGACCCCAUCUGAAAUUGUGCACACGCAAAGUGAGAAAGAGUCCCUGGCCCAAAGAGCUUAGAGACUAAGUAGACAAGAUAUACAAAGAGCGGGAAUGGAAACAGAUGCUGCAGGGACUUCAUCAUCUUGUGCAAUUGUGGGGGGAAUCAGAUCUCUCUCUUUUGGACAGACCCAACAGUGUUCAGGGACCAGUUACCUUCCUCCAGAAGUCACUAGAGAAUGAGAACUGAAUUUGCAGCAGGAAUGAAGCUCAGUAGGUAGUAGACAAGCAUAGACCAUGGAAUGCUUUUAAGCUUUAGCUCAUUCUCUGAUCUGAAGGUGGUUAAUGGCAUCUGCUGAAAUCCCUAUGGGAACUUAAAGAAUGAGAAAAUACCCAGAAACGAACGUGAGGAAUUUCUGUAAUAUUGUUAUGAAAAACUAUGUGUGACUCAGUUUCUCAACUCACUUUGUAUUGUUACCCACUGGAUAUGAGCCGAUUAAUUUAUUUCUUGGAACAGGAAUCUGGGUGAGAUUCAUGUACAGUUGGCAUAUCUAGGUUGGUAUGAAUUCAUUAGCAUACCACAUAUGUAUUAAGUUGCCUUGAAGAUACAAUAGAAGACCAAGGACCAAAUAUUAAUUUCUAAUACCUGUUAAUCAAGUUCACUCAGAACAUAUGAAAACAGUGUGACUGCAGCUUGAAACAAAUGCAGGAGAUAAGAGCAGAAAGAGGCAUUAUGAUUAGUUUGACCUUGGGCAUAAUAUAGGCCAAAGAAACCCAUCCAGUAAUCUCUGCAUCAAGACCAUAACAUCUGUUUGAACUCUAGCAUAUCUUUUUAGAAAGAUAUCCAGUCCUGAGGUAAAGACUUCAAGCUAUGGAGAAUCCACCAUAUCCCUCAUCUGCGAGAAUGGAGCCCGAACUGCUGCGGAACAUGCUGACGAGUCUCGCCAGCACGUCUUGUUUGGUAGUUGAGUUACUGUUUAAGAUCCAAAGUGACAGUC
Mauremys reevesii (Reeves's turtle) is the source of this 1385-nucleotide long non-coding RNA. RefSeq lists it as uncharacterized. NCBI's taxonomy places the organism in Eukaryota, Metazoa, Chordata, Testudines, Geoemydidae. The record is from RefSeq and is a predicted model, not a curated record. The transcript has 2 exons.